AAGAAUAUAAGUUCUGCCUUAAGUCACGAAAUGCACAAAUCAUAAAACAACUUCUUAAGAGUUAUUCAAGUAAGGUACAGCCUACUUGAUUCAGGAUACAACCAAAAUUAUAGGGUAAUAUUUUAUACCUGCACUAAAGUGGGCCUAAAAGCAGCCAUCUUUUAAAAAGCGUCACAGCUUAACUUCUCCGUUAAUUAAUACCAAAAAACACUUAAACCCCAUUAUUAGUAUUGAAUAAUUUUAUAAAAAUAUAAAAAAUACGAUGCUAGAACUAGUAAUAAGAAAUAUGCAUUUCUCCUAAAUGUAAGCACAAAUCAGCAAGAACUAUUCCCUGACCAAUAUUGUAAUGUAAAAUAAUAACUUAACCAGAAAAUCUUACUUCACUAAACAUUAACCUAACACAAGAACAUUUAAGGAAAGAUUAAACCAGAGAGAAGGAACUCGGCAAAUUUUAGUCUCGCCUGUUUACCAAAAACAUCGCCUCUUGAUUACCAUAAGAGGUCUAGCCUGCCCAGUGACCAAUUUAACGGCCGCGGUACCCUAACCGUGCAAAGGCGG
This 558-nucleotide ribosomal RNA is filed under the name Leptopelis kivuensis (Kisenyi forest treefrog). Its description in RNAcentral is "16S ribosomal RNA". Lineage: Eukaryota; Metazoa; Chordata; Amphibia; Anura; Arthroleptidae. The record is from RNAcentral.